GAGGGGUGCUAGCGUUAUUCGGAAUUACUGGGCGUAAAGGGUGCGUAGACGGCUUGCUAAGUCUGUCGUUAAAUUCUUCGGCUUAACCGAAGGUCAGCGGUGGAAACUAGUAGGCUAGAGGGUGAGAGAGAGAAGUGGAAUUCCCGGAGUAGCGGUAAAAUGCGUAGAUCUCGGGAGGAACACCAAUGGCGAAGGCAGCUUCUUGGCUCAUUCCUGACGUUGAGGCACGAAAGCGUGGGGAGCAAACAGGAUUAGAUACCCUGGUAGUCCACGCCGUAAACGAUAAUCACUAGACGUUAGUUCAGCUUUGCUGAAUUAGUGUCGUAGCUAACGCGUUAAGUGAUUCGCCUGGGGGAGUACGGUCGCAAGAUUA
This 373-nucleotide ribosomal RNA is filed under the name uncultured organism. RNAcentral describes it as "partial 16S ribosomal RNA". It matches the Rfam family "Bacterial small subunit ribosomal RNA", at positions 527 to 896 of the family's 1533-position model. The record is from RNAcentral.